Molecule: non-coding RNA, 33821 nt
Organism: Monodelphis domestica (gray short-tailed opossum)
Lineage: Eukaryota; Metazoa; Chordata; Mammalia; Didelphimorphia; Didelphidae
Source: RefSeq, a predicted model, not a curated record
AUUAAAACAACCAAAACGUUGGGAAUUUAAAGCUUUUGGAUUUGAAAUUACGUUAGGCUUUUAAAUAGCUUUUUGUCCAGAUAGGUUCAUGUGACUCAAGAUCUUGGAAAGAGAAUGAUCCUAAAAAUGAUAUUUGUAUUUGUUGGUAUGAUUUUAAAAGGUGAAAUAGAUGAUCAGUAUUUCGAAGAUUUUCCUUUACCAAGCAAAAUGCUCUGUUUUAAAUGUUGAAAAAUCAAAUUCGAACUACAUCAAUACGUAGCUACUACACAUCCUACCCUCAUGAAAUAAAUUUCACAUUCUGGAAAAAAAGGAAUGUAUCUUCUUUAUAAGUAAAACAAACAAACAAACAAAAAAGAGUUCAUAUAAAGUGCGUGCAUUUGUUGCCUGGUUAUUUCCUUUGAAUUACCUCAAAAAUUUUGAAUCUGGUAAAGUAACACUAUAGAAUUUCAGACAAUAGAUAUUACUGGUGAGGAUUAUUGAUGUGAUUCUUAAAAGUUUUUAAUUACCUUAUAAAAUCUGUGAGUUCCUACCAGAUUUGUUAAGAGGAUACAUUUUUAGGGAAUAUUGAGGGUUUAGAUGCAUAAAGCCCAAUUUUUUUUUUUUAAUGACAGCUAGUAGAUUGUAAAUUCUAAGGUAGACACAACUCUUGGAGGAGGGAGGUAGUGUAGUUUUUCAUUUUUGUGUCCUCACAACCAAACAAAAUGCCUUGAAAAGUAUAGUAGGUGCUCCAGUGUUUGAGUUGAACUAAAUAUGACUUUCUUAUACUUAUGUUGUUAUUGCAUUAAGCAGUGAAGUUUGUUGAUGCAAUGGAAACUGAUUAUUGAAAUCUCAUUUUUAACUGACUAAAAGAAAAAUAGUAAUCUUUAUUUUCCUCAUUAAAUCAUGUGUAAACUUUGUCUUUUAAUAGAGAUUGCCAUUUUAAGUUUUGUUCAUAGUCUAAUAUUCUACCAAGGAAAACUAGUAUUAGCACAUGGCAAUUGGAACAUUUGACAUCAAGACAUUAACAUUUUUGAUACAUAGGAAUUUAGUGCAUUUCUGGAAUAAACAUUUGUUUUUGGAGACAGUUCCAAAAAAAUGACAACUUGGAUUUUUUUUUUUUAGUUUAUGUGCAUAAAAGAAGGUAUCUGCAAAUUUCUCUAGUGAAAACUAUUGAUUAUAUUUGAUGGUCAUAUUCUAAACCAGUGGUUAACCUUUUUGGUAUCAUGGACUCCAGCAAUAUGGUGUUGCCCAUGGACUCCUCAGAAAAUGAUGUUGUCAAAUGCAAAAAAUGCCCAGGAUUACAAAAGAAAUCAGUUUAAUUGAAAUAAAGAUGUAAUUUUGUCCCAUCCAAGUUUAUAUACUCCCUGAAAUCUAUCCACAGAUCCUUAGGGGGUUUGUGGGCUCUAGGUUAAAGGUUUCUCCUUUAAAGUGAUUUUUGUGCUUUUUUAAUAACCCUAGCUAUAAAACUAUUAGGCUACUUAAUAAUUUCUCAAGUUACCUUUACAUAUGCAAAUUUUGAAAUUUGAAAUGACUAAUAAUAUGAUGAAUAACAUUUAAAAAAUUGACUCAAUUUCUACCAACAACUAAAAGCCUUCUUUGUCAGGCAACUCACUUGCGACUGGAAAUUGCAGACAAAAGUACUAAUAUGUAUUGGUGAAAUGAGUUUUCUAUGUCAAUAAAAUAAUAGGUCAAGUUAAUAAAAAGUUAGUGAUAUAAACUUUAUAGAAAGAUACAUGUUUGAAAAAAAAAGUUUAAUUCUGAAACAUCUGAAAAGAUGUUGAGAAUCAAAUAAAAAAUUAUUUGAAUCAAGCACAUUUUUAAGGUUGCCAGUGAAAAGAUAAUUUAGCCAUAAGCAACUGGGAAUGAAUGUGUAUUUCACCUAUGCUUUUGUCCCCCCCCCCCAAGAUUUUUUCCUUUAAGUUUCUCUUUAGUCUAUAGGUAAUCUUGUUGACAGUAAUUCUUUAAAAAUUACAAACUUUUGUAAUAUUGUACUAUUAAGCAAAUUACUAGGAUAACUAAAAUACAGUUCUAUAUUAAGUUCAACACAUGUCAGGAAGGGUGACUGUGACAAAAGAUACUCAGAAUUUGUUCCCCUUAUGUUUGCCUCACUUGCCCAUUUAAAAAGUAAUAUUUUGACCCCUUGCAUUGACACUGAAACAUGAUUAUUAUGUUCAAGAAAACUUUUUUCAAACCAAAAAAGAGAAGUUUAAAGCAGAUGACUUUUAUUAGAUUUUAAAAUAUAGCUUUUUUACUACUUUAAUUUCUGUUCUGUUUAAAAGAUUUUCACAUAUUGCUAAAUUCAGCUGCAAUGUCAAUAAACCUGGAUACCUACAUUUUACAUUGUGUUUUUGUUUUUGUCUUUAUUUCUUAAUAUUUAUUUUUAAAAACCUUUACUUUUUGUGAUUAAGACAGAAGAAGAGCCAAGGGCUAGGAAAACAGAGUUAAGUGACUUUCCUAGGGUCACACAUCGAGGAAGUGCCUGAGGCCAAAUGGAGAGUAUUUCAAAAUAGUAUUUGAUAAUCUGUUUUUAAUAUUUAACUCUUCACUUACUUUGGAAAUACAUUUUUUGGCCAAAUCCUUAACUUUUUUUUUUUUGAGGACUUGAUGUAACAUAUUAAAUUGAAUAUUAUUCUUUUGAAAUUUAGAUUGUUUUGAAAUUUUAGAUACCAAAUUUGUCAUUUGUUUAAUUUCCAGAUAACAUUUCAGUUCCAGCCCUUUUAAAUUAAACUUAUUUUGUUAGUAGCUGUGCAGUAUCUAUUUUUUAAAACAUUUUUGUUCAUGGCUGUCAUUAGUAUUUUUCAGUCUGUGACCUACAUAUGUCAGUGCAAUUUAAGAAUUGUCAUAACAUUUUAACUACUAACUUCAUAUUGUACAUGUGUUAAUGAGAUUAAGGAUGCUAGUAAAAUCAGUAUCUUGGGGUGCUGUUUUUUUAAUGCAAAAUAUUAAGAGCAAAAAGAUGAAUUUCUUGAGGGAAUUGUUAAUUGGAUGUGGUAAUCCAUAUAUAUGGUUGAUUGCCUUCAUUACUUAAAAUUCUGUGUUCACUUAUUUAGAAUUACAACAAGUGCAGAGGUGAAUUGUAGAAUUCAUUAAGUAGCUCCUUAAAUCAAAUGAAACCCAGUAAGAGCUUGUGACACGGCAUGAAUACUAUUCCUCUAUUUGGAAACUACUGGGAGAACUGAAAUGAUUAGCUGUGUCCUUUGGGGUCAUUUUCCUACUUUUAUAACUAAGUGAUUUUAUUUUUCCUCUGUAUUAUUUAACAGACAAAUAUGAUUGAUUCUAAAGUAGAAAGUCAUCAACCUGUUAGAGAUGUUAUUCUAUAAUCAUUUUUGUAUCAUUUUUAUAUUCUGCUUUAGUGGAUCUGGGAUCUCAUUAAUGUAGGUACUCCCUCUAAUCAUACUGACCAUUACUCCUUCUGUUUCUGGUUUGAUUUUUAUUCAUAUCUUCCUCAAAAUCCUCUAUAGAAUAUAUACAUGGUAUUGGAUGAUUUCAGAGGGGUCUUUUAACAUUAUAAGGAUACCAGUUCAUCCCUGAAGCUAUUCAUCUUUUAUUGUAACAUGAUCAGCAUAUUAUUUUGAUCAUGUUAUCCCCCCACCCCACCCCAACCCUUGCCUUUUAAUCAAUACAUAUCAGUUCCAAGGCAGAAGAGCAGUAAGGGCUAGGAAUUUGGGAUUAAGUGACUUGUUAAGGGUCGCACAGCUUGGAAGUGUCUGAGAUCAGAUUUGAACCUAAGACCUUUCAUCUACAGGACUGGCUUGUAGCCACCUAGCUUCCCCUCUAUUGGGUAAUCUUGCUAUCCUUUACAUUGCUUCUGGGGUGCAAGUCAUAUUUGGCAGUGUGAUAGUUUCCAUUGGCCUAGAAAACACAUGGGGAAUGGACAUAAUAACUGUCUUCAAAGUUUGAAGAGCUGUCCUUUGAAAAGAUUAGUAGGCUUCUGCUUGACUUUUGUGGCAAGAACUAGAAGCAGUGAGUUGAACUUUCUAAGAGAUAUGUUUAGGCUGGAUAUGGGAAAGAACCUCUUAAUAAAAUUGUCACGGAAUAGAAUGAACAGUCUUGGGGAGUGGUAGGUCCUCCCUCACUACCAGCCAAUCAAUCAAUAAGCAUUUAUUAAGUUUCUAAGCAAGGUGCUAUGGAUCUAGGACAACAAAGACAUGAGUUCAAUCAAAAGCCACCUUUUUGAUGUAUGAUGGAGGAGAUUCUUAUUCGGAUUUGGGUUGUACUACUUGACUAAAUCAUGUAACUUUUUUGGACCUCAAUUUCUUCAUCUAUAAAAUGAGGUUCUCAGUUCUGACCUUCUGUGAUUCUAUGUGAUUGGUCUUUGAUUCAUUCAGAGUUUUUACUUGAAGACUCUGGUGUUCCCUAAUUCACAAUUAUCCAUCAUUGUUGGAAGAGAAUUGGUGUUAAGGUGGGUUUUUGUGUCAGGAAUGAGUAUGAAAUCAUUAAACUCCCUUACAGCUUCCUAAAUGAAAUCUAGCCUGGACUCUUCCUCCUUUUUAAAUUUAGGUCCAGAUCAUUAUCUGUUGGUUGCCCAUCAUUUGCAUGUGACAGUCUAAGCAAGGGGCCUUCAUCUUUUUUUCCCCCUGUGUAGCUUGUUUAGGCAAAUUUCCAUCGAAUAAGUGACACUUAUUGAGGAGGAUUUUUUUUUUAUCUUGAUUGAAUCAGUGUAAUAAAUGUUAUUCACAAACAGGAGGAUGUAUGAAACUUUGCCAUUUGUAGGUAAUUAUUAUUUGAUUUAGACUAUUCAGGAUAUACCUGUGAUAUUUUGAAUUCCUUUGGUGAGCAUAUGUAUUUUAUGCAUUGUGAACAAGAGUGAAUGGUUAGCCAUGUUAACUGAAUAGCAGAUUUGAGUAGUAAAAUCAAGGAAUUUUGUUGUCUUCUUUCUUAAAGAUUUUGAACUCUAAUGGAGAAAUUAGUAGGACAUCCUUUCUAAGAAUCUUUAAUAUAAUAGUUACAUGUAUAUUGUUCAUGUAUCCUGCUGUUACAGAGGACAGACUAGUGGAUUGGAUUAAAAUUUUAGUAUCUUUGUGACUUUGGGUACGCCAUGUCAUAUUUCUAACCUAUAAUUUUUUUCCUUUAUAAAAAAAGAGGCUUAAAUUAGCUAUUCUAGAAGGUCUCUUCCAGCUUUCAAUCUUGGGUGAACUGACUUUUUUCUCCUAGCAGAUAACCUGGUGAAGCUUAAUAAAUGUUAAAUAGUUGGGAGAGAGACUAACUUAGCAGGGCACGGGCUUGUGGUAUGAUGUAAUCUUAGUGAAUAAUAGUAGUAUUAUUAUUAUAAUAACUAUAUGUACUAUAUUAUAAUCAGAAAGUUUCUUGGUAGUAUAUUUAUGUUAACUGUAAAGAGUUGUGAAGGUUUUUUUUCCCUCAAUGCUAUCUAAAGGUUAUUAAUUUUAGACUUUAGUGAAUAAUUUAAUACAUUAUUUCUGAAACUCUUGUUGCUUUUUUGAUUGAAUCUUUUAUGUGUGUGAAAAUUGUUGAAACAUUUCCUAGACAGCCUAGAUUAGUCCAGUAGUUUUUAAACUGAGGCCCAAGAAAUAAUUUUAAAUAUUUUGGUAACUAUUUCAGUGUAAUUGGUUUCCUUUGUAAUCCCUUGUAUUUUAUUUUAUGCAUUUAAAAACAUCAGUCUGAGAAGGGGUUCAGAAGCUUCACCUGACUACCAAAUGAAUCCUCAGUACAAAAAAAAGUUGAGUCCUUGGCCUACUCAAUUUUUUUUGCAAUCAAUAAUUGAAAAACAGAAAGUUGGUUGUUUAACUAAAAUAAUAUGACCUGCUGUAGGAAAUUGUGAAGCUUAACUUUUCUCUUUUCAUAUUUUCAUCAUGGAUCUCCUCAAAACAUGUAUGUACCUUUCUCAUAGAGAUUUUUACAAAGAUGAGAAAAUAUGAUGUAUAGAUAUGUAUGUGUCAGUAGUUUUUGCUUUAUCUAGUUCCUUUUUUAUUGCAUGUGAUUUUUUUUCCAUUCUUUUGAUAAUUUCCCUUUUAGACAGUCCCUGGCAUAUAGUAAAUACUUAAUAAAUAAUUAUUGGUUUAUUGAAAAAUUUUAAAUGAUCCCUCAAUGUUUUCAAGAUUGUGUUCUCUCCAGAAUGGAUUUCCUUACUGGAUCUCCAGUCCAGCCACCCUCCCUGACUUUGUCUUAGUUCUUCAUUUAGUAAAUUGGGAACCACAGAUAAAAUGUUAUUAUAAUGAAAUUAAAUCUUUAGAAUUGUAGAAAUGUUGAUGUUUAAUUUUCAGUUUAUUUGUUAUCCUAUGUGACUUUAAUUUUUAAUCUGGGAAUCAUGUGGCUCAUUUGGGUCUGACAACAGCUUUCUGUAUUAUCCCUUCUGCUUUUCCUCUUUUAUGAGGUAAUAAUGUUCAUAAUCUUCCAUUGUCUUCCACUGUAGUGCUUUAUAAAUGAGUUAAAAUAUUUAAAACUUUUACCUUUAGCUGUUCCAUAUCUCCAGUAAAGAGGCCUAGGGUUUGCUACCUAAGGCCAAUUUCUGUGCUUAUGUGAGCUUAUACUAUGUUAAUAAAUACGUUAUGUCUAGAAUUAAUGGAAGUGAUAGCUUUUUUGUGCCCUGUUAAGACUAUAUUUGGACUGUUAUAUUCAGUUCUAGGUGAUCAGUUUUAGGAAGGGCAUCAAUAAGAUGUACGGAAGAGUGCUCUCAUAGUGAGUGGUGUGAUGAAUGGGUCUCAUGUCAAGGAUUGGUUGAUUAAUAUCUGUGUGACCUUGGACAGGCUACUUCACCUCCCUGGGCCUCAUUUUCCUCUUCUAUAAAAUGGGAAGACUUUACUAGAUAGUCUUGAAGACUAUCUACCUCUUAAGUUUGUGAUUCCUAUCACCUUUGUAGAAAAUAAUCAUUUACUCAUUUCUUUUCUCAGACCACGCUAGGUCAUAUUUAAAUAGCAUGCAGUUAAAUUUUUUUAUUAUUCAUUUAAUUAAACUGUUAUACUCUUGUAUAGUUUCUUCAACUACACUUUUUAUCAGUAUAUAGAAAUCUUCUCCCUUCAUAUUUAUCUUUUCUUAUGGCAUAAUAAUAUUUUAUUAUAUUCAUGAAUUUUGUUUAGCCUAUCUCCCAAUGAAUUUGCUUUACAAAAAACUGCUGUGACCUUUUUGGUGUUUAUGGUACUUUUCUUUAAAAAAAAAAAAGCUUUACCUUUCUUUUUAGAAUUAAUAGGCAAAAGAAUUGUAGGUGCUAGGCAAUGGGGUGUAAGUGACUUGCCCAGGGUCACACAACUAGGAAGUGUCUGAGACCAGGACCAUCCAUUUCUAGUCUUGUCUCUCUGUCCAUUGAAUUACCUUAGCUGCGUCCUGCUACCUUUUUUUUUUUUUGCUCUUGAUCAUUUUUGGGAAUAGGCCUAGCAGUGGGCAUUUUCUGGGACAAAGAAUAAGGAUAUUUUUGCCAAUCUUUUACCACUUCAAAUUGGGCUAUCAGUUCUUGGUGUUUAGUUUAAUCAACAUCAAUACUAGAAUUGCACACAGGGAAUAUGGGUUGCCUGGAUAUCUAAGAUGCCUCCUCUCUUCCUGUUCACUAAUGAGAUUGAUUUAUUAUUCUUUUUAGGUGUGGGUGUCAAAACCAUACUUGGCUCAUAAAACUAAUUGAAUAAGUAUUCUGUCUUUGUAGCGUAUAAGCAGGCUUGGUAGCAUUGAGAUUGAUUUUUGGAGGUUUGGAAAUUUUGUUUAUAACUGACAACAAAUGAACUGAUUUCUUAUUUUGAGAAUGAUCUUGGUUAAAUUAUUUCCUGGUUUAUUAGUCUUGAUAUUUUUGCAUAUAUUAUUUUUAAAGUCAUGUUUAUUAGUAUAUAGAAUUGCUUCUUUCUUUGAUUCAAUUUGCUAAAUGGUGUCAGUUUUAUUGACAUAAAAAUUAGCUCUGUUCUGUAAUUUUCAUUGCUUUUCUAUUUUGUUAAUUUUACCUUUUUCUGUUUUCCUGUGGUGUUUUAUAUUUUUUCAAAUGUAGACCUAAUUACUUUAUUUGUCUUUGCCUCUCAUAAGCCCUGAAAAUUUGACUUUCAGAAAAGCUUUGGCUUCAUCACAUAGAUGAAGCUGAUAUAUGCAAUUUUAAAAUUAUAAUUUCCAAUUUAAGAAAAUCUGUUAUUUUUAUAAUUUCUUAAACCCAGAAUUUAAAAAAUUGUUGUUUCAAAGUUUAUGAUAGGUACAUACAUAUAUAUAUAGAGAGACUAAGAAUACAGUAAAUAAAAUUUCUCUUCAAAACUUAUAUAGGUUAUCUUUUAGUUAUUAUUGAGUAUAAUUAUAUAUAAUUAAGUAUAAUUAAUUAAUUAAGUAUAUUAUUAAUCAUUCAUUUUGGUAUAAUAUCUUGUUCUUAUCUUGGUGUGCUUUGAGGAUGUAUUUUUUGGGAUUUCCAUUCCUUUACAACUUUGUGUUCAUUAAAUGUGUUUGCUCACUUCUGUAUUUUUAUUCUUUGCCAGUGUUAUUUUUCUGUGUCUCUGAUUUCUCAGACCAAACUGUUCAUUUUUAAAAGGCAUUGACUUCUUAAAAAUUCUAUAAAAAUAAUUUUAUUAAUCGGAGAGUUUCAUUCCCUUUGGAUGAUUCUCAAAUCUAUGUCUCUAACCCAAUAUUUUUUGUCCAUUUUUCUAUCUCUAGCUGCUUAUUAGAUCUCUCUUAAUUGGCAUAAAAACACCCUAAAUUCAUCUUCCGCUUUAUUGAGAAGCAUAAUACCCAGGUCCAGGGAUAUGUUUGUCCUGGUGUCAUCUGCCUUGGUCAAAUCACAUUCAGAGUGCUUUAUUUACUUUUAGAUGGACAUUGAUGAAUUAGAGAAGUACCAAGAUGCUUAAGUGACUUGAUAUAAAGACAUAUGAAGAUUGGUUUAAUCCAUCAACAAGAUGUAUUAAUCAUCCACAAAGGUGCCCUGGAGACAAAAGUACAAAGACUGAAACAAUCCCUCCUUCCCAGAGCUUAUGUUCAAAUGGAGAGACAACAAGUACACAAAGAGCAUAAAUAUAAAAGGAAUAUAUAUAUAUAAAUAUAUUCAAACUAGUUAAAUCCAAAAUUUUUUGGGGGGUGGGAAGGAGAAGAUUAUUAGCAUUUAGGUCAGAAAGGAAUUAGAGGUGUUUGGCCUGGAGAAGUGAAGAGGAGGGAAGACAUGUUGGUUCUCUUCAUGUAUUUGAAAACUUGUCAUGUGGAAAGAAGGAUUAGAUUUAUUUUUCUUGAUCGCAGAAGACAGAGCAGGCAGCAGAAGAGCAGACAUUACAGAGAUAGAUUUAAGUUCAGUUUAGGGAAGAUUUCUAAUAAUAAUAAUUAUCCAAAAUUGAAGUGGUUGGCUUUGUGAUGGGGUAGAGAGGCAUUGUGGGUAGAUGAGAAUAAGACUAGUGGUUUUCAAUCAAAAGUUGAAUUAACACUUGAUUUUAUUAUAGAGGACAACAUUAUGUUUUGGAGUAGGGAGGGAACCUCCAAGUUUCUUUGCAACUGUGAAUACCUAUGAUUUUCCAAUUGUGUGAUUUGACUGUACUUCUGAAACUUAACAUACUAAAUCUGAGAUCAUUUUUUGCCCCUAAAAUUGUUAUUCUUCUCCAAAUCCUAUUACUGCUAAUGGCAACAUUAUACUCCCAUUUCCCUCCAGGCUUUCAAGCUUACAUUGAUUUAAAUUUUUUUAUAUGCUUUCAUAUCUAUUUAGUUAUUAAAUUAUAGUGGUUAUUUUCCCUUCAUAUUUCUCUUGGAUUAGAAAUUUUUAUAACUCUUAAUACUACAACCUUAGUCAAGACUCUAGACCAGGGUUCCCCAAACUAUGGCCCACAGGCCCCCUGAGGCCAUUUAUCCGGCCCUAACCACACUUCCGGAAGGGGCACCUCUUUCAUUGUUAGUCAAUGAGAGGAGCACUGUAUAUGGCACUGCCGUAAAGCGCGGCGUCAUAUACAGUACUACUUCUGGUGACAUAAUCCUUUGCACGGUGCCUUGUUCUGAGAAUAACUGAAUGAGAAUGAGGCACCUUGCAAAGGAUUAUGUGGCUGCAUGAGGGAAGAUGUCAGCAUGGUGAGUGGUGAUCUGGCGGAGGGGAUUCUACACUGUGUAUACUGCUGCCGGGUAUAAUGGUGGUGGUGAUGGGCCUGUGCAAGGUGUGACGGACCCAUCACAGCCAGCGCUGCAGCCUCUGCUAUCCUAGACAGAGGUAUAUAGAUUUGUUCAUAUUUUUAUUUAGUCUGGCCCUCCAAUGGUCUGAGGGACAGUGAACUGAUCCCCUGUGUAAAAAGUUUGGGGACCUCUGCUCUGGACUCAUUCCUGGGUAUGUAACUAUAACUUAUUUAUCCCUUCCAGCUCCAUUCUUUUUAUACCUGCCAGGAUAAAUUUUUUCAAGAAUUGUUUUAUUUAUUGAACAAAUAGCUUUAGAUCAAUAUUAUUAUUUUAUGUACAAAGAAAGGAUUGUACUAAUUUUUAUCAUGGAAAUCUUUUGGAUUAUCACCUUGCCACCUCCUGAAAGUUAAGCUUAAUUUAAGACCCUUCCUUUCACUGUUUGUUCUUGCUAUUCUUCCAGCUUUGUUAUUUCCUAGUAUAUAUACAACUUCUCUACUUGAACCAGGAUUAAAAGUAUUCUUAGGGGAGAAAAUGGUCUUCUUAUAUUUUCUUAUAGGAAUAUAUAAAAAUUUCUCAUAGGAAUCAUAUUUAGAGCCCAAAUGGGUAAUUUUAGAUGGGCUAUAAUAAUAGAGUCUUUUCUUUUUACAGUUGAGGAAAAAGCUCAGAGAAAUUAAAUGAUUUGCCCAAGGUACUAGAUAGGUUUUAAGUGAUAGAGCUAGGAUUCAUACCAAAGACCUUUCACUCAAAAUCUAGUAUUCUUUCUAUCACAAGAUAUUGAUUUCUUUCUCUCAUUCUUUAGUCCCCUUGUAUAGCAUAUAUUCCUUAUUCUUCUUUCUCAAUCUUUAGAAAUGCUUUAUUUUUCCACUUUUACCAGGGAAUGAGGGGUUUCAUUUAAGUAUCAUCUAGAUACUAGAGACUGAAGCUUUUUAAGCAACCUUCUAAAAAUUGGAACCAUUCUUUUUAUAAAUUUUAUUCCUCUGCUUUCUACCACAAAGUAUACUUAAUAUAAUUUGACUUUUCCUUGAUGAUUCAAGGUCUUAAUUAUGAACAUCAAUAAUUAUACUGAAUUAAAAUACAAUGCAGCAUUCAGAAUAUUAUCAAAUGUCUAGGGCAUCUUGCCUCAACACUAAAUGAUUGUUGAUUGAUUUUUGGAAUUCUUUUCCUUGUGACCCCAAAUAUUAGGGAAAAUAAAUUAGAUAAAAAAGAUUACCAAAAUUGUGUGUAAAACCAGAGCAAAUUACUCCCAAGUGAUCAGUCUUAAGAAUUUUCAGAUAAAUAAAGCUUAAGCACAUGAAUUUUAUAAUAUCUGUUCUGGAUGUUUAGAAACUCUAAAUGUUACUUUGGAUGUUAUAAAAGAUUUUUAGAAUUACUUAUGUGUUCUGAAUUGUAUUCUAGAUAUUGUAUUCUGUUGUAUUUUGGAUAAAGAAGCUUCCAGAAAAGUGACCUCCACAUAAAUUGGAUUAUUUUUCCCCUCUUCUUUGAAGAACUUACAAGAUAUUCCUUUAACACACUUUCCUUUAUUAAUACCACCUGGAUAUUUUCACGCCUUUUUUUUUCCUUUUUAAAAAUUUCCCCCAAUUACAUGUAAAAAUAAUUUCUGGCAUUUUAAAUUUUUUGUCUUUUAAAAAUUUCGAGUCUUGAAUUUUCUUCCUCCUCCCCUGCAGAUGGUGAGCAAUUUGAUAUAGAUUUUUUACAUAUGCAUGGCAUUACAUGCAGCCAUGCAGUUUUUCCCCCCAUAUUAAUCCUUUUGUGGAAGGAAACUCAAAAACAAAUAUUAAGAAAAAAAAUGAAAAAAGUUUGCUUUGAUCUGGAUUCAGACACCUUUCUCUAGAAGCAGAUAGCAUUUUUUAUCAUGAGUCUUCUGGGAUUGUUUUGGAUUGUUGUGUUGCUGAGAAUAGCUGAGAAUUAAUUAUUAUACAGUAUUAAUGUCACUAUGAACAGUGUUUUCUUGGUUCUGUUCACUUCACUUUGCUUUUGUUUAUGUAAAUCUUUCCAGGCUUUCCUGGGAUCCUCUUGCUUGUCAUUUCUUACAACCCAAUGGUAUUCCUUUAUAAUCAUAUGCUACUGUGACUUACUCAGUCAUUCCCCAGUUGAUGGAUAUCACCUCACUUUCCAAUUCUUUGUCCCCACCAAAAAAAGAUGCUUUAAAUAUUUUUGUACACAUAGAUAAUUUUUUUGGGAAUCUCUUUGGUAUAUAAACUUAGUCAUGGUAUUUCUGGGUCAAAGAGUAUGUGUUAUUUUAUAGCUCUUUGGGUGUAGUUCUAAAUUGCUCUCCACAAUGGUUGUAUUGAUUCACAACUCCCUCAACAGUGCAUUAGUGUCUUACUUUUCCCAUAUCCCCUCCAAGUUUUGCAAUUUUCUUUUUCUGUCAUAACAGCCAAUCUGAUAGGAAUUGAGGUAGUACCUCAAUUGUUUUAAUUUGCAUUUGUUCAAUUAAUAGUGAUUCCCCUCCACUGUGAAUCCUCUUACAUGACAGUAAUUUGCCCCAUACUAUUUAAUUUUUUUAUAUCAUUCUAUCAUAUUCAACUCAUAUCCUCACCCUCUGUUUAUCUGUACUCCUUCUAAUGCCCUAAUAAUUACAAAGUUCUUUGGCCUUACAAGAGGCUCCCCAUAUAGGGAUAUACACAGUUUAAUCUUAUUGAAUAUCUUUUGAUUUCUCUUGAGUCUUGUAUUUGAGAGUCAGAUUUUCCAUUUAGCUCUGGUCUUUUCAUCAAGAAUGUUUGAAAGGCCUCUAUUUCACUAAAUAGCCAUUUUUCCUCCCUGAAGGGUUAUCCUCAGUUUUGCUGAGUAAAUGAUUCUUGGUUGAAGUCCUAGCUCCUUUGCUCCCUGGAAUAUAAUAUUACAGGCCUUCCAACCCUUUGAUGAAAAAGCUGCUAAGUCUUGUGUUAUCCUGGCCAUGGCUCCACAAUAUUGGAGUUGUUUCUUUUUAGCUGCUUGCAAUAUAUUCUCCUUGACCUGAUUUGGAAUGUAGUUAUAAUAUUCCUGUGAGUUAUCCUUUUGGGAUCUUGUUCAGAAAGUGAUUGGUGGAUUCUUUCCAUAUAUAUUUUGUCCUCUGUGUCUAGAUAUCAGGACAAUUUUCCUUGAUUAUUUUUUGAGAAAUAUCUAAGCUCUUUUAUAUCAUGAUCAUGGCUUUCAGGUAGUCAUAUAAUUUUUAGAUUAUCUCUACUGGAUUUCCCCCAUGAUAUAUUUCCCAUUUUCUUAUCUUUUUUCAUUCUUUUGACUUUGUUUCUUGAUGUCUCAUGGAAUCAUUAGCUUCUACUUGCCCAAUUCUAAUUUUUAAGGCUUUUUUCUUUCGUUUUCUAGUUUAGUUUAGGUUUCUUUAGUGAGUUUUUGUAGCUCCUUUUAUAUUUGGCAAAUUCUACUUUGUAAGAGUUCUUUUCCUCAGUGAAUUUUUGCACCUCUUUUUCCAAAGGGCCAAUUCUGCCUUUCAAGAAAUUUUUCUCAUCAGUACAUUUUUGUAUAUCAUUUUCCAUUUGACUAAUUCUGUUUUUUUUUUAAAGAGUCCUCUUCUUUGGACUUUUGUGCCUCUUUUAUUGUAAUUGGCCUAUUCUGUUGUUUAGGUUAUUAAUUUCUUCAGUGUUCUGUGUGUGUGUGUGUGUGUGUGUGUGUGUGUGUGUGUGUGUGUACCCCUUUUACCAAGCUGUUGACUUUUUUUUUCAUGAUUUUCCUAUAUCACUCAUUUUUUCCCAAUUUUUAUACCUCUUAUUUUUGUUUAUUCAUUCAUUUAUUUUUUAGCUCUUACCUUCCAUCUUAGAAUCAACACUGUGUAUUGGUUCCAAGGCAGAAGAGUGGUAAAGGCUAGUGUAGUGAUUAAAAUAGUGGGACUUAUAAACUGUGGCAGAUAAAAGAGUGGUUGGCUUAAAUUGUGACCGCAGAAAAUAUGGUUUCAAGACAGUGUCUUGUUUUAAAUCAAAUAUAAGGUGGUCACCAGGGAAAAAUUCCCAAAUAUUAAAUAUACCCAAGUCAACUGGGUUUUAUAGAGAUUUUAAUUAAUACAAAAGAGGAAUUAAAGAAAGGGGGAGAGAGAGAAAGAGAAAGGGAGAAAGAGAAUAAUGAGAAAAAAGGCUAGGCCAGCCUUAAGAGAGAGAGAUCAGUCAGUCUUCAAUCCACUCACCACAAGAUUUGUCCCAAGCUAGAUUCUAGUGUUCAGAGGGACACCAGUUGCCUCCUCCAAUUCAGCUUUUCCCAGCUGAAUCUCUCCAGAGAGAGUUCUUCUGAGACAGCCUGGAGAGAGAGUCUCCUUAGAAGGAGUUCCAGGAGAGCCCCCUUGCUCUCAGCUUCUGAUCUCCUUUUAAAGGGAAUUUUCUCCUAUGUCACCUCCCCUAAGUUCUCACAUCUACCAAUCACAGGAGACCUUUUCCAAAGGACAGGCCAUUCUUAAUUCACACCUAAGUAGGUUUAAACUUUUGAUUAAGUUCACACCUGAAAAACCUUUAUAGGUACUUAGCACCCUUUUGUAUUAGAUCUAAAAAUAGGCACAGCUUAAGAACUUUUGCCUUACUAUAAGUAUGGGUUUAAGUAUUUUUCAUUGUUCAGCAAGGAGUUUCUUCCCCUAAAGCAUGCUUAAGGUAGGUAGGGGUGGAGUAGAGGUCUCACAUUUCUGAUCUAAGUUCCUUCAUUGUUUAAAAUGGGGUCUUAACCAAAUCUUAUGAAGUAGGGUCUGAGAAUUUUUAAGAUUCACACUAAGCAAUAGGGACCAAGUGACUUUUCCAGGGUCACACAGCCAGGAAGUGUCUGAGGUCAGAUUUGAACCCAGGACUCCCAUCUCUAGGCCUGGCUCUCUUAUUUGGUUUUUAAAAUACUAUUUGAGCUCCUCUGUGAAUUCUUUUUGGGCUUGAGAGCAAUUCAUGUUUUUCUUGGAGACUUUGGAUACAAUAGUAUUGACCAACUCUCUGAAUUAAGUUGCUCCUUGACCCAUCCUCUGAUUGAAUCAAGUUAGUGGAUAGGUGAAAGAUAAUGUGGUAUAUUCUCAAGCCAGACUGGGGUCUCAUGACUUCCAGUGUCCUGAGGAACCUUGUCUCUUGUCCCUCAUUACUCCCUGGUGUCUGGAAGAGUCCUCUUGUACAAAGUGAUGUUAGAGUCCUGCAAUUGGAGGCACUUUGGAAAAGGACUUCGCUAAGAGCAUAAAUCUGUGUUGCAAGAGGGAUGGCAGACUUUUUUCCCCAUAGAAUCCAGAGGCCUGACAUUGGCCUGACUUUAGGUCUUUGGAGGAGGCUUAUUAAGGGAACAGCCAGCCACUUGUGGCUAGUGGCCUUUUCUUUCUCUAGCUUGCUUUUUAUUAUUUAAUAAAUACACAUUAAAAUACAGAGAGUUUUAAUUUUAAUUUAACCCCUCUCGUUCAUCCUCUCUUCCUCCUUAACUUUCCUUUCCUUUUGGUUUCCACUAUGGAAUGAAAUAUAUUUUGGUACCCAACUUUCUAGUUGUAUGUAUGUGUGUGUUUAUCAUCUUUGACCAAUUCAGAUGACAGUAAGGUCAAAGUGUUGCCUGUUUUCUCUUUGUAGUCUUUUACUUGCACUCAGAUUAUGUGAGAUAAUUUUCCCAUUCUUGUUUUCCUUCCAUUUUCUUUCCAUAUUUCCUAUAACCCCAACCUCAUAUUGUCUUACACUCCCUUUCUAUUCUUUUAGGAUCAUCACAACAUAAUAAAACCACUCCCAGGCCUUCUUUCUUAUUAGACUUGUGCUAUGAUCCUUGAUGACGAAGCAUUCUGAAGAGACAUCAUCUUCCCCUCUUAUAUUGAAAACAUCUUGUCCUUGUUUAGGCCCUUAAGAUGGGUUGCUCAUGUUUACCUUUUAAUGUUUCUCUUGAUUUCUUUGUGGUUUUAAGUUUCUGCUAAACUCUGGGCAUUUCAAUGCUUGGAAGUCAUCUUAUUUCACUAAAAAUCCAUUUUUCCCCUACAGGGUUAUAAUAAGUUUUGCUAGGUGAGUUAUUCUUGGUUGCUAGUUUAUAUCAUUUGCUUAUAUCAUAUUCAAAUUCUCUGUUCUUUUAUAGUGUUGCCUGCUCAGUUGUGUGUGAUUCUGACCAUAGUGCCUUGGUACUUAAUUUCUUUUUUGUGGACUCUUUGCAGUAUUGUUUCUUUUUUUUCCCCUUUGACCUAAAAGCUCUGUAUUUUGCUCUUGUUUUUGGAAUUUUUUUAAAGAGGCGACUGGUAGAUAAUGUUUUCACUUUGUGCUCUGGUUCUAAGUGUUCUGGGCAGUUUAAUGAUUUCUUUUUUUUUUAUUUGAUCAUUUCCAAGCAUUAUUCAUUUAAAGACAUAGAUCAUUUUCUUUUCCUCCCCCCCACCCCCCAUAGCCGAUGCGUAAAUCCACUGGGCAUUACAUGUUUUCUUGAUUUGAACCCAUUGCUAUGUUGAUAAUAUUUGCAUUAGAGUGUUCAUUUAGAGUCUCUCCUCUGUCAUGUCCCCUCAACCUCUGUAUUCAGGCAGUUGCUUUUCCUCGGUGUUUCUACUCCCAUAGUUUAUCCUUUGCUUAUGAAUAGUGUUUUUUCUCCUAGAUCCCUGCAAAUUGUUCAGGGACAUUACACCGACACUAAUGGAGAAGUCCAUUACCUUCGAUUGUACCACAAUGUAUCAGUCUCUGUGCACAAUGUUUUCCUGGUUCUGCUCCUUUCGCUCUGCAUCACUUCCUGGAGGUUGUUCCAGUCUCCAUGGAAUUCCUCCACUUUAUUAUUCCUUUUGGCACAAUAGUAUUCCAUCACCAACAUAUACCACAAUUUGUUCAGCCAUUCCCCAAUUGAUGGGCAUCCCCUCGUUUUCCAAUUUUUGGUCACCACAAAGAACGCAGCUAUGAAUAUUCUUGUACAAGUCUUUUUGUCCAUUAUAUCUUUGGGGUACAGACCCAGCAGUGCUAUGGCUGGAUUGAAGGGUAGAUAUUCUUUUGUCGCCCUUUGGGCAUAGUUCUAAAUUGCCCUCCAGAAUGGUUGGAUCAGUUCACAACUCCACCAGCAAUGCAUUAAUGUCCCUACUUUGCCACAUCCCCUCCAGCAUUCAUUACUUUCCUUUGCUGUUAUGUUAGCCAAUCUGCUAGGUGUGAGGUGAUACCUCAGAGUUGUUUUGAUUUGCAUCUCUCUGAUUAUAAGAGAUUUAGAACACUUCUUCAUGUGCUUAUUAAUAGUUUUGAUUUCUUUAUCUGAGAACUGCCUAUCCAUGUCCCUUGCCCAUUUAUCAAUUGGAGAAUGGCUUGAUUUUUUGUACAGUUGAUUUAGCUCUUUAUAAAUUUGAGUAAUUAAACCUUUGUCAGAGGUUUCUAUGAAGAUUUUUUCCCAGUUUGUUGUUUCCCUUCUGAUUUUAGUUAUAUUGGUUUUGUAUGUGCAAAAGCUUUUUAAAUUGAUGUAGUCAAAAUUAUUUAUUUUACAUUUUGUAGUUUAAUGAUUUCUUGAGAUAUAUCUAGACUUUUUUUUGUCUUUUCCAGGAAUUCUAGUUGAAUUUGUGCCUAAGUAGUAUUUUUCUUUAAAGUUUUGCUUGUAGAUAUUUAUUUUGGAGUCAUUCUCUUCUGGAUUUGGGUCACAAAGUAUGGUUCCAUCCCUCAAAGAAUUCACAAUAUAAUAGGGGAAACAAUGUGCAAUAUUUAUUUAUGCAUAAGAUUUACAUAGGGAAAAUGAAAGAAUGAAAAUUUUCACUAGAGAUAGAAGAGGGGGAGGAAGGUGUUAGAUUGAAAGGCCUUUUGUAAAACGUGGGAUUUGAGCUGAGCCCCUUGCCCAGGAUAGCAUAGCUCUUAAGUGUCUUGAGGUGAGGUAUAAGCCAAGGUUUGCCUGAUUUCAGUAUCUUGUACACUAUACAUUAUGUCUCUUAACAAGGCACAUGGUAGGUGAUAGUUUUUCUUGUUGCACUUUCUUCCCUCUACUCUACCACCUUGGUUCUGCCCUACCCCCCUUUCAAUCAUUGUUAAAAAUCUUAAGCAGUUUGAUUACAUGAGUUGAGGGAGAUAUAAUUGGGGAUGUAGACUCUAAAUGAUUAUCCUAGUCCAAACAUCAAGAACAUGGAAAUAGGUUGUGAUCAAGGUAAAACCCAGUGUAAUGGCACCGUCGACUAUGGUAAAGGGUGGGGGGAGAGGAGGUAGAGAAAGAAAUAUGAUUCUUGUAACCAAGGAAUACUGUUCUAAAUUGACUAAAUAAAAUUAAAAAAAAAAAAAACUUAAGCAGUACAGGGCCAAGAAUUCUUGCUGGGACCCUCCACUAGUGACCUCUAUCUACAAUGACAUUAACCGUUUAAUACCUGGCCAUCAAAACAACUGUGAAUUCAUCUAAAUGUAAAUCCACUUAGUCUGUAUUACUCCAUCAUCUCUGCAAAUAUAUUAUGAAGUAUUUCAUCAGAAGCAUUGCUUAAAUCUAGGUAAAUUAUAUCUACAAUAUUCCUUUUAUUUACUUGUUUAGUAAUACUAUCACAAAAGGAAAUGUUUUGGCCUUGCUCUCGAUGAAGUUAUACUUCAUAGUAGUAUUCACCAUUUCCUAUUCUAGCUGAUCCUUACUCAUCUCUCUUUAAAAAAAUUAUUUUUUUAUUAAUAUUCCAAAUGUUUACAAAUCCAAACAAAAAAGCAAUUCCAUAUAUAAAGAAAAAGAAGAUAUUACACUAAUGAAAUCACAAAUCUCCUAUAUGUUUAACUUACUUUUCUUUAUAUCUACAUAAAAGAUCCCAUCCACAAGUGUCCCAUCCCCUCUCCACCCUCUGUGCAUCACAUAGGAUAUCAUCAGGGAGGUUAAAUGUUUUUAUGUAAAUUAAGUCUUUCAUGUUUUAUCUUAAUGUUCAAUUUCUGGAGGUAACAUUCUCAAUUUAUUCUUCUAUUUUUUCUAUAGCUGUGAAUAAUGUUUUCCUGGUUCUAUUCAUUUCACUGUUCAUUAUCUUAUAUAUAGUUCUUCCAAGGUUUUUAAAAAUCAGUUUGUUCAUCAUUUCUCAUUUCACAGUAGUAUUCCAUCACAGUCAUAUAACACAAUUUGUUUAGCCAUUCCCCAGUUGAUGGGCAUCCCCUCGUUUUCAGUUCUUUGCCACCACAAAGAGAGCUGCUAUAAAUAUUUUGGAACAUGGAUUCUUUUACACUUUCCCUAAUCUCCUUAGGAAACAGACCCAGCAAUGUUAUUUUAUACACAGUAUACAUACUUUUAUAGUUCUUUGGGCAUGAUUCCAAAUUGCUCUCCAAAAUGGUUAGGUCAGUUCACAUUUCUACCAGCGAUAUAUUAAUAUUGCCACUUUUCCAUAUCUCCUCCAACAUUUGUCAUUUUGCCAUUUUGGCCAAUCUGAUAAGUGUGAGAUGAUAACCUCAGGAUUGUUUUGGUUUGCAUUUCUCUAAUUAGUAGUGAUUUGGAACAUUUUUCAUAUACCUGUAUAUGACUUUGAUUUCUUCAUCUGAAAAUUGACUUUUCAUAUCUUUUUGCCCCUUUGUCAAUUGGGGGAUGGCACUUAUUCUUAUAAAUUUGACAAAGUUCACUAUAUUUUGGAUAUGAGACCUCUAUAAGAUAGACUGUCUAUAAUUUUCCCCCCAAUUUUCUGCUUUCUGUCUAAUCUUGGUAGCGUUUAUUUUAUUUGUACAAAACCUUUUCAAUUUAAAGUAUUCAAAAUUAUUCAUGUUAUUCCCUAACCAUCUCUAAAGUAUAUUUCAAUUAAAAAAUACUUAUUAGGCACCUUCUAAAUACUUGUUCUAGAUCCUAAGAAUGUAAAGACAAAAAUGUAAAACAGUCCUUGCUGUCAAGGAACUUAUGUUCUGACAGCAUGCACAUAUGUAAGUAUAUGAAAAUAAGUACAUGUAGAAAAAAUAUACAAGAGAGUUAAAUAUAAGUUACUUAAUGAAGGGAAAGUUUUAACAGUUGUUGGAAUCAGGGAACAUUGUAAUGCUUGAGGUGUAUCUUUAAGGAAGUGGUGAGAGAUUUUAUGAAGUAGAGCUGAGAGAGUACAUCCCAUGGAUGGGGAACAACAUAGAAGGAAGGUGGAAGGAAUGCUGUGAAUGAGUGAAAGAAAAAAUUUUCAGUUUGUAUUAAAUUUGUAGAGUAUAGGAAAAAACUGGAAACACAAGUUGGGAACAAGUUGUAAAGGGUUUUAAAAUUUAAAAUUUUUAAUUUUUAUUUAAAUUUUAAAAUUCCUAUAGAGAGGUUUAUAUGUUGUAGUUAGAUCCUGUUUGCUGUGUAUCUCCCUAUUGUCUUUUAUCAGGGUUAUGAAGGCAAUCUCAUCUAUUCUUCUCUUUUUAAAAUUUGGAUCCAAUUCAUCCAUUUUGGCUUUCAUAGAUAAACAUAUUGGCAGAUGAGGUAGUCAUCCAACUUUUGUGUCUUAAUGUAACUGAUAGACUUUCUUCAUCCACUUCAUCUUUCAUGUGUGGAUGGACACUCUUGAGUGAUAAUGGAUCUCUUACUGGAGGCUGUAUUGUAUACUAGGGCUUAACUCAAUCAGCAUUAUAUUAUCUAUAAAGAAAACCAUUUGGAAGUCUUCAUCAUCCAAAAGGAAUUCUUCUUCAACCUGGACUUGGAAUCUUUUUGGAUCUUGCUCUAUUGCAGUGGUGAACACCUUUGAAUGCCAUAUUGUAAAAAAUGGAGACUUGAACUCAGGAUUCCAUUUCCCAGGAGUCCUUGCUCACUUCCCAAAAUGCCUUGUAACCUCACCUGGGCCGAGAGUGAGAUGGGGUUUUUAACCUGGCUGUAAAGGCUACUGGGUCUCUUUCCUACUUCUGCUUCCGAGCAGACUCAUCUCUUUCAUUAUGUAGGUGAGGUUGUCUAGGCCUCUCUGGGCCUAGUCAUGUGCUUUUCUUAUUCUGUAUUUUCCUUAAUCCUUAACCUCUGAAAAACCUCAUAAAUAUAUAAUACUCCUUGCAGAGAGAAACUUAAUUUCUACCUGCCUCAGUUUCCCCCCUAAAUUUUAAUUCUUACAGUUUUGUGUAACCACUUUGGGAAAACGAAAUAUCUCAAUCUUCUGAUUCUUUUCUCUACUAAAUUCAGCCUUUAAUAGCUAGUGCCUAGUUUUUUUUUUUUAAGCCAUGUUUCUCCAAGAUGCUUUUUUAGAAAGCCAUCUUGAUCAGCUCCUGCUGGCAGCCAUCCACUUUGGAUUUUCUUGAUUCAAUAUCAAUCACCUGGUCACUGCUCUUUCUCACCUGGUCCCUGUUCAACCCAGAUCUCGAUCACCUGGUGACCCGCCUGCUGGCCCCAGCAAAACUCUAGCCUUGGAGCAGAUCGCUCAGGACUCAUUUCUACCAGCUGGUAAAAAUGGGGUAAUUUUCCCUUAGGCUAAGAUUAAGCCUCCACGUGGGUGGUUCCUAGGAGGGGAGAGAGAAAAAGGGAAAGAAGAAAGGUUUUUUUCCAAGCAGGAAGUUAAAAACAUAGCUAUUUUACAAAGAUAUCUUUUAAUUGCAUUGAUCCUUUUAUUGACUUCACCUGCGUGUCAGGGAAAAAAUUCAGCUCUGUACAACAUUUUAGCUAAAUUUGGGGAGGCAGCUGGGUAUCUCAGUGGACUGAGAGCCAGGCCUAGAGACAGAAGGUCUUUGGUUGGAAUCUGGCCUCAGACACUUGCUGGUGGUGUGGCCCUGAGCAGGUCAUUUAACCCCCAUUGCUUAACCGAUUUCCUGCCUUCUGACAAUAGGCAUCUAAAUGGAUAAAAAAACCCAAGGAACUUUAAAGAGACUGGAGGUUAUAUUUUUGAGGCAUUUCAGACUCAAAUGGUUUAUACAAAUCUCUGUAUUCUAUUGCUUUUUACUGUUUGCUUUGUUUAAGGUUUAACUUUGUGAUUUUAAAUUCAUAUAUUACUGCAUUCAAUAUUAUUCUGUUAUACUGAAUCAUUUAAUGUACUGAGUUUUAACUACUGUUAAAUUCUGUUGCUUUUCCCCUAUAACUAUAUUGAACAAAUAUCAUUGUACUUAAACCCAUAUAUGAAAAAACAAGUAUUUCUAUUUUUGCCUUUGUAAAUUGUCACAUAGAGGAUAGAUGGACUCCAUCAGAACUGGUUACAAUUGCUAUAACAACCUUUGGAAAAUUUAAAGAGCUAAAUAUCUCAAUUGAUUUUAAGUUUUUUUUUUUUUUAAACAUGAUUUUUAACAAUCUGGUCAUUUUUGCCUGCCCCUAACACGAGGUGUAAGGCCCAUUCUAGUAGCUGAAGUAAAAUACAUUUUAUAAACCCCAACCUUACCACAUUUCUAAAUACGUGAAUGAAAGUUGGGGCAGUUAAUCUCAGGGCAUUUGUAUCCCUAAAAAGCCUCCAAAAAAGGAGCACCCCUCAUUUAUACUCUUCAGCUCACUACUUUACUUCCACCAGAAUAAUAUCUAGAUUUCUUGAUGAUGUUCUAAACCCAAAAUGAGUUUUACUUUGUUUAAAAAUGUGUUUAUUACCAAUAUUGAAAGAUUGCUAUGUUUGUAAAAACUUGUGACAAAUUUCCAUCGGUUCAUAGACUUUUAAAAAAUGCCAUACAGCAACUUAUGUAAAAUAUGAUAGAGUUUGUUUGCUAUUGUGCUUAAUUGGGCUAUUGAGAAUUUUGGGGAUAUUGAUAACUACGUAUUUGUACUACUGUUCUUUAACAAUGAAAAGUGUUACCUUGCUCAAUUCAUUUGCUUUCACUCACAGUGGAUCAUGGCCAGAUAUGAAGAGGAAAUGGAUCUUAUUUUUGGACAAGAUAUACACAAAAGAGCCAUUGCACAGGGCCAAAGAAAACCCAAUCCAGGAUGGAUUGAUGCACUUCUAAGCCAAUGCAAAGAUUUUGAACCUAGUGUUGAAGACUCGAGGUUACUGUGUUUAACAUUGUUAGACAUAGGCUUUCCUUGUGUCUACACUCACUCUGAAAAUACUCACAGAUGAGUAUCCCCAAACUUGGCACCUACUUGGCUUUUAUAAUCUGGUCCCUUUUCUGUCUUUCAUAGUGUGGUAACUUUCUGUAGUUCUGGCUACUGACUGGGUAAAUGCAUCAUUGCUUCGAUCAUUUUAAUUGGGCCCUGAUUCAAGGACCUGUUAUAGAUUUAUUUUUCUUUUACUUGGAGUUUUUACACAUGAGACUUUGAUUGUCUAUAUUUUCAUCCAGUAUUUUCUUUUUUAUUUGGAUUUUUCUGAUAUCUUUUUAAUUUCUCUUACCAAUUGAUUCAUUUACCUCAUACCUCAGCCUUGCAUCCCUAAGUGAUCCUGUUUUUUGUUUUUUUUUCAAUCACCCACAACACGGGGAAAUGUAAAAAAUAUUAUUUAAAUGGCAAAGUUUAAAUUACUUUUGAGAAGAAUUUUAGGUAAAGAAAGAUGUUACCUCUCUGAUUCCAGAAACUGAACUUUUGGAGAAGACACCAUGAAGAAGCCUCCAGACCACAAGCUGCACAAGAAUGAACUUUGGGUGUAGUUGAUUGAACAUUUAUUUUGUAUGUAUACUUUCAUGCCAAAGGGGACUGCCCCCAACUGGCUUUUUGUCAAUGCGUCCAGCAAUUAUUGGUUUUAUUUCUUUUCUCUUAUCUUCAAAUUAUUGUAAUCUUUAAGUUGAUUAUGUUUUUAUGAUCCUUUGGGGAAGUCCUUCCCAAAUGAUCACACAAGGAAAUGUAAAAAUGGAAACUUGAACUCAGGACUCCCAUUUCCCAGGGGUCCUUGUUCACUUCCCAAAAUGCCUUGCAACCUCAACUGGGCUGAGAGCGAGAUGGGGUUUUUAACCUGGCUGUAAAGGCUACUGGGUCUCUUUCCUACUUCUGCUUCUGAGCAGACGCAUCUCUUUCAUUAUGUAGGUGAGGUUGUCUAGGCCUCUCUGGGCCUAGACAUGUGCUUUUCUUAUUCUGCAUUUUCCUUAAUCCUUAACCUUUAAAAAACCUCAUAAAUAUAUAAUACUCCUUGCAGAGAGAAACUAAUUUCUACCUGCCUCAGUUUCCCCCCUAAAUUUUAACUCUUACAAUAUCUUACUGCCUCAUAUUGAGAUUUAUGAUUAAAGGGUUAUUGACCAAGGGUUACAGUUUUCAUACCUUUAAAGAAACCUUAAACACUUUUCAUGUUUGAAUGGGGACUACUUUGUUAGAGGAGAACUAUUAAUGUGACUUUUGUUAAAUUGAAUUAAAUACCUUUUUACAAUAUAUAAACAAUAAGCAGAGUGGGAUCUUGUAUGCCCUACAUCUUUCUCUGUAGGCAGAUACAUAUGAUUAUAUUUUGACCAGAAAACACUUGUUAUUGUUGAAGGCUCAUAUUUGAAUCAUUUGCCUGUAUAAAAACAGACUACUAACUUUUUAGAGCAAAGAUGGCCAUUAGUAUAAAACCAAAUGAUAUUAUUUUGUACUCACCAUUGUCAGGACUGUAAGGAUAAUUUUAGGGUUGUGACUUAAAUCUAAAUUAAUUUUGGUCAAAAUCUGAAAUAAAAUACCCAAGUCAGCUGGAAAUUUAUGGUGAUUUUAAUUGAUAUAGAGGAAAGGAAUUAAGGAGAAGAGAGAGAAGGAGGGUAUAUGAUCUCUCUUGCCUGGCCUGUGCCAGGGGAAGUUCAAAGUCCUCUGCCACUAGGACUUUGAAGAUUAGAGGCUUUCUCUGAGAGGAUAGUGUUUGGAAGAUAAAGGAGAAAGGAAUCAGCUUAAACUCCAAGAGAGCUCAGCUAGGCUACUCAGCUUCUUCCAGUAUAGUAUCAAGGAAAACUCACUGCUAAACAGGACAAUAGCUGCUGCCAUGCCAAGAUGCCAAGACACUCAGCAAGCUGCCACCAGCCACAUCUCCACCACCAAAGAGGCUGGAGAGAGGAAGUGAUGUGAAAUAUAUAGACGGUUUUACAUCACUUUUCUGCGUCUCACCUGUACCAAUGGUAGCUUAAGCUUGACUUAGGACAGCCCAGGGGUCUGUCAGUUGUUUCUGAUUUGUCAUUUGCUAGCACAUGUCUAUCAUAGGCCAUCUUCCUAGAUACUUAAUCCUUAAGUAUGGGUGUUGACAUUCCUGAUUUUGUUAGACUAAGUAGGAUGGAGUAAUUUAAAGUUCACAAUACCUAUCCUUCACCAAUUCUUUUCUUAAAGAAAAUAAUCAUUAUGUAAAGGUGUGAGGCUUCUGUGCAGCCUGGUUUGUGAGAUUUCUUAUCUUUUUCUUGAUAAAUGCAUUCUGAUAUAUUUCUUACCAUCUUUACUUACUCUCACCUUAACUUGAAAUCAUUGAGCAUCAACAUGUGUGUUGAUUUAAUUUUGAAAGUCAUUAAAUUCUUUGUAGAAGUGCUCUCCCUUUCAUCUUCUGUGACCAGUAUUGUUAAACUAAUUAUUUUUAUGAUGGUCUUUUUUGCAAAUAUUUUACUGCAUUGCAAUAUGAGAUGACCCUGUAUUCAAUGAAAUGGUAUUUUAUAUUGGCUUUAGGUUUUCAAUAAUGUCAGUUUUGUCAACUUUUUUCAUGCCUUUUUCCAAGUGUGACUGACCCAUCCAUGUGCUUAAGUAACAUAACUCUUUAAAACUACUAGAGUAGUAACAACAAAUCAAUUAUUCCAUGAGACAGCAUGAAACAUCAGAACAAAAUAAGAUUUAAAAAAUAGAAGAUAUAAAGUAUUUUGUACGAAAAACAACUGACCUGCAAGACAAGUCAAAGAAGGUAACUUACAAGUCAUAGGACUCCCCAAAGCCAUAAUUUAAAAAAUAAACAGACUUGGAACUUAUUUGUAGAAAUCAUAAAUGAAAAUGGCCCAGUUCCAUUAGAACCAGAGGGCCAAAUGAAGGUAGAAUUUACUUCCUUAAAGGAAACCAAAAGGAAAAUUAUUAGGAAGGUUAAUGCCAAAAUAUUGAGCACCUGAAUCAAAGAAAAAAUGCUACAAAGGAUCGGGGGCAGGGAGUAGUGGGGAGGAAUCGAUUCAGUUUCCAAGGAAUUAUAAUCAGGAUCACAAUAUCUGACAAUUUUUAUAAGAGGAGAUCUUAGAAUAUGUUAUUCUAAAAGAUAUAUGGCUUAAAACCAAGAAUAGUUCACCCUACAAAGCAUUUGUGAUGGAAAGAUUAGUGUUGAGUAGGAACAUUUAUAUAUAAACACAAGUCCAGAGAAAUCAAGAAAGGCAAAUUUAUUUGAGCAGUUGGAAGGUAACUGAUGUAUUACAAACAUUGUAAUAGAGGAAGAAGAAACAAGUCUCUUCAGAAUCUUAAUGUCUGAGAAAAACAAAAAUCCUUUUGAAGGUGGAUAGAUUGUUUCUGUUCUGAGAAUAUUUGGAGAAGAAAAAAGGAACAUACUAGCAUGUAAAGGAGAAGGAAGAAGGGGGAAUUUAUUAAUAAUUUGGGUUCAUUAGGAUAUACAAACAUGGAGGAAGCAGUGGACAAAGGUGUCAGAUGAACCUUAGUCUUAAUUAAAAUUUUCUUUUUGUGAAUUGGGGAGAUCCAUUAGGAGAGAUGAGGGUUUAGCUGCAGAAAUAUCUUUUCUUUUUCUUUUCAUCUUUUUUUUAAUACUUCUCUAUUUGGUUCUAAGGCAUAAGAGAAGUAAGGGCUAGGCAAUUGGGGUUAAGGGACUUCCUUGGGUCAGACAACUAGGAAGUCUGAGGACAGAUUCUUGGCUCUUUAUCUACUGAGCCAUCUAGCUUCCUUGGGUCUUUUUUAAAAGUGUCAUUGUAAUGUUUUUUAAAAAUACAUAGAAGAGUGGAGGCAGCUCUAUGGCUCAGUGGAUUGAGAGCCAUGCUUAGAGACCAGAGGUCCAAGGUUCAAAUACAUUUCCUAGCUAGCUGUAUGACCCUGGACAAAUCAUUUAACCCCAUUGCCUAGUCCAUACCUCUUUUCUGCCUUAGAACCAAUACACAGUAGUGAUUCUAAGAUUGAAGAUAUGGUUUUAAAAAAUUACAUAGAAGUGAAUAGAAGGAAGUUCAGAAAUAAGCAUAAACCAAGCAGGAUGGUUUUCUGUUUUUGUUUUUAAAAUAUGUAUUUUUAAAAUUUUAAAAUCAUAUUAAUAUUAAUAUAAACAUCAUAUUUUAGUGAAAAUAAUUUCUAAAACAAAAAAUUAUGAGGGCUUUUUUGCACAUACCUUUUUUUAAAAAACCCUUACCUCUGUCUUAGAAUCACUUUGUUUUGUAUUCUAAGGCAGAAGAGUGGUAAGGGCUAGGCAAUGGGGGUUAAGUGACUUGCCCAGGGUCACACAGCUAGGAAAUGUCUAAGGCCAGAUUUAAACCCAGGACCUCCUGUCUCUAGGCCUGGCUCUCAAUCCAUUGAACUACCUAGCUGCCCCAACAAGUAUCUUUCAUGUUAGUCAGUAAUCAUUUAUUUUUUUGCUCUUAUUUUAUUUUUAAUAUCAUACAGAAUACACUUCCAUAUUGGUUGUUGUUGUAAGAGCACACUCAUAUAAAACCCAAACCCCAAAAUAAAACUUUAAAUACACUAAUGUGAAAGAAUGCUUUGAUCUGCAUCCAUCAGAGACUCCAACAAUUCUGUCUUUGGAAGUGGAUAGCAUUCCCUGUCUUAAGUCUUUCAGGAUUGUCCUAGAUCAUUGCAUUGCUGAGAGUAGGCAAGUUUUCACCAUUGAUCAUAGUACACAUUGCUGUUUAUUCAAUACAAUGUUAUCCUGUUCUGCUUGUUUCUCUCUACAACAGUUCAUUCAGAUAUUUCCAGCUUUUUUCUAAUAUCCUGUUUAUCAAUUUCUUAUUGAUGAACAUCCCCAUAAUUUCUAGUUCUUUGCCACCACAGAAAGAGCUGCUAUAAAUAUUUUUAUUCAUGUUGGUCCUCUCCCCUUUUUUUGUUAUUAAAAGGAUAUGCAUUGUUUUAUAGCCCUUUGAGCAUAACUCCAAAUUGCACUCCAUAAUGGUUUGGUGGCUUUGGUGGUCCAAUUUUGCCAUACUCCUUCUAAUAUUUGUCACUUUACUGUCAUAUUGGCAAUGAUAGGUAUGAGGUGGUACUUCAGCAUUUUCUUUUUUUAAACCCUUACCUUCUGUUUUAGAAUCAAUGUGUAUUGAUUUUAAGGCAGAAGAAUGGUAAGGGCUAGGCAAUGGGGGUUAAGUGACUUGCCUAGGGUCACAAGUGUCUGAGGCCCGUUUUGGACCUAGGACCUCCUAUCUCUGGGCCUUGCUCUCAUUCCACUGAGCCACCCAGCUGCCCCCUUCAGCUUUGUAUUUCUCUAAUCAGGAGUGAGUUAGAACAUUUUUUCAUAUUAUUGAUAGCUUUGAUUUCUUUAUCUGAAAAUUGUUCAUAUCCUUUGACCCUUUGUCAACUGGAGAAUGGCUUGUAUUCUUAUAAAUUUGACUUGUUUCUUUAUGGAUUUGAGAAUUUUGUUAUAAAGAUUUUUCCCCCAGUUGUUUUCCUUCUACUCUUGGUUACAUUAAUUUUUUGUUUGUUUGUUUAAAAAUGUUUCUAUUUAAUAUAAUAAAAAUUAUUCAUUUUAUAUCUUAUAAUGUUUUCUAUAUCUAAAUCAUAUACCUGUUUUGACCUUAUCUUGCUAUAGGGUGUAAGAUAUUAGUCUAUACCUAGUUUCUGCCAUACUGUUUUCCAAAGUAGUACAGUUUUGAAAGUAAUAUGUAAAAUAUAUUCCAUAUUUAAAAAAAUAAGGCAAGACCUGUGAAAUGGAGACUCAUGGUAGAAUCUAGUUUAUUUUUAUUGUUUGUUUAGAAAUCUUUUCUUUUUUGGUUGUUGAAUUUAGAGUUUAAGAAAAUAAAUGUCAUAUGAUUCAAUUCCUCCAAUGGUAUAACUUUCUUCUUGGUCAUUAGAAAAGGAUCUUACAUUUAGAGUUAUAGCAGACAUCUUAAAAAGUAUAAAUGGUCUGGAAAUGGUAUAAUUCUUAGUAUCCUCUCCUUUAUUUUCUGGUACUCUUGUCACUACUCACUGUAGAAUUGGAAGGUUAUGCAGUACUGAGGACUAUUUUUCUUUUUCUUAGUUUUAACUAGGCUUGACCUUGUAAAGCAAAGUUGGUCUUUUGUUUCAGAGGACCAUACUUUUGAAGCAUUUUUAGUAUGCUACUUCCAGAACUUUUGCUAUCCAGGCCAGUCAUCAAGGACUAAGUAUUUACUUCCACACUAUGAGAGACAGUGGCAAAGGAUUUUAUGGAGGAUUUAUAUAAAGUUCCAUAAUGUAUUUGCACCUCACACUUUCUAAAGAAGACUUAGAUUCUUACCCACUCUUUUUUCAGGUUAAUGACUUUGUUCCCUUAGUUUAAGAAAUCACCAACUAACCCUUUUUGAGCAGUGAUAAUGAUUUCUGAAGCAGAGGGCCUUCAGGCUAAGGAUAUCUUCCAAAUGUUGCUUCUUCUUGGAUGGUAAUGAAUCCAUAACUGACCAGUGCUACUCCUCAAUUUGAUGCUUGCUAGAAUAUGUUAGUGAGUUUAUUUAGACUUGAAUUGGAGCUCCCUAAACAUAAUCAGUAAAAUUGAUUGUCUUCUGUAUGCCAGAUAUUGUGCUAGCUUCUGGAGAUGCAAAGAUAGAAAUGAAAUAGUCCCUGUUCUUAAGGAACUUAUAUUCUAGUAAGGGAGAGAAUGUGUACAAAUAUAAGUAUAUACUAUAUAUGUAUGUGUAUAUAUAUAUAUGAUAAAUACAAGAUAAUUUUUUUUUCAGUGAGGAAUGGAGUAUUAAAGAGAUUCAUAAGUAGGUCUAGAUUGGACUAAGAGGCUGGUUGGGCUAGCAGACUGUUUUGGUUCCCAUCUAGUUCUUAAUCUGAAAUUCUAUGCUAGGGUUAAUUCUUGAUUUUGGCAUUCCUAGAAAUUUUCAUUUAGGAGAUUAGCCAAAUAUUCUGUGAAAUUCAAGGGAAAGUUUCCUCCCCCACCCCUUCUAAUCAACUCUAGAAGUAAAUUAACAAAGAAAACAAUUUUAACAGUUGUAAUGUGGCAAUUUUAUUGCUUCAUCUUUAAUGCCAUCCUUUUCUCUUGAGUCCCUUGCUCCCUUAUCAUAUUGAUUCUGCUUCACCAAGCCUUGUCCUUAGAUUACUGUUACCAUCUACUACUUUCACUCCUACACAUGCACCACUCAGUGAAGGUGGAGAAAAAAACAGUGAACCAUUGUGGCAGAGUCUAUUAUUAAUUUGUUUACAUGACUAUGUGAGACUAAAAAUGAAUGAAUACUCCAAGUAUUUAAAAUUUAUAGAAUUUAAUAACAACAAAGUGAGAGAGAAAAGGGUUCCUUCAUCCAAGUGAGCAGAGCACAGAGCCAGAGACCCACACCUGUCAUGCUGAAGUCAAAGCAAAAGCCCCCAAAGCCCCACAGUGUGGGUUUCAGCAAAAUUUAUAAACAAACCCAUGCCAGGGUGCAACACAGGACACAGACAAGGGGACCCCGGGAAGAGUAAAGAAUGCUGGGAAAUGAAGUCUCCUGGCCACAAUAUUUUUAAAAACCCACAACUUCAAUGGAGCACUCAAUGCUGCUAGGGAAUCUUUCUGUAUAUACUUCACUGAAUAACUAUAGCUGCUCUUCCAAACCUUUUAAUUCCUCUUCAAAAUCUAGUGGCUCCCCUCCCUCCACCUUCACAAUCAAUAAUCUUGUCUCUUAUUUUUACAGGAAAAGAUUGAAGCCAUUGUGUAUAUCUUCUCCCAUUUCAUUUCACUCAGACACCUUUUGCCACUAUUUCCUCCUUCAUCUCUAUCUCACUUGAAUAAGUAGCCUUCCUCUUUCUAAUGCAAACGUCCAGAGCAGCACAAGUUAUCCCAUUCAUUCCCAUCUCCUCCAACAAACUGCCCCCAUCAUCCCACUCUCACUGCUCUUCAAUCCUCCCUGUCUAUUGGCUGCUUCCCUAAAAUUGCCUAAAAAUAUGCCUUUGUCUCCUUUGUUCUAAUAAGAACUUGACGUGAUCCUUCUAUCUCUGCUAUCGUCCCAUAUCUCUCAACCUUCUGACUAUAGGUCCUCUUCACAGCGCUCAACAUUCUUUCUUGCACUUCCAUCUUUCAAAAUUGCUCUCUCCAAAGUUAUCAGUGAUCUCUAAUUGCCGAAUCCAGUGACAUUCUCCCAAUCCUCCUCUUUCUUUUUUCCCCCCUCUUUCUUGACCUUUAUUCAGCUUUUGCAUAUGCUUAUACUCAAUUUUUAAAAAAUUGUUUUGCCAAUCCUGUGGAAUUGCUCAUUGGCUCCGGGAGGAGGGAGAGAAGAGUGGAGAGAAAGAACUUGAAUUAUGUAACCAUGGAAAAAUAUUAUAAAUGAAUUAAAUUUAAAAAAAUUCUCAUUUAAAAAUAGUUUUACCAUUAUGGCUAGUAUUUUAUAGAACUGUAUCAAAAGAUGUUAACUUUUUCUUGCUUUAUCCCUAAUGAAAAUGUCAUUUGAUGGAUAUAUAUUAUUAAUGCUGGUUUAUGGUGAUCUAAUAUGAUGUCAUUUACUAUUUAUUUCUUGUAUCUAUUUUUUACUUUUAUUGUAUCUGAGAUAAUUGUUAUUCCUGAUUUUUUGAGUUCACUUGAAGUAUACUAGAUUUUGCUUCAGUAUCCUAUUUGAAAUUAUUGUGAAUCUUUCUGCCUUAUAUGCCUUUUGUAAGUGAAAUACUCUUCAGUAUUCUGCAAUUCUUUCCAGUUUUAUGGAUGAAUUAAUUCCAUUUACAUUGACAUAGUAAUGAUUGUUAAUUGUUUAUUUUUCUUGAUUCUAUUCUCUCAUACUUUCAAAGUACUACAACUAUAGACUUCAGACUCUCUUUGGACAGAUCUCUUUAACCUUCACUGAGUUCAUACCUCCCUCCUCAAAGAUUUCCAGGCUUGCUCCUGACUCUUAAGAUAAAAGGAUUUCCUGAGGUAUGAUCUGGGCCAAAUUUUUCUGGCUAGAAUCCUUUCUUUAGUGUCCAUAGGCUUAUGGAGUAGUUCUGAAAGAGAUUGGUUGCUUUGCUUCCUCUCAUUCACCAUCUUGUUGUGAUUCCCUUUGUCAGGUAUCUUGUAGUGAUUCUUUUGUCAGAAUUAACAAUCUCUUUUGAUUUGAGUUUUCUGUAUAUAUUGUUCCAGUGCCCUUAAUUUUAUUAUUUUUCUGUUUAUAGAGCAGAGAUAGUUAAUAAGAAGGAAUGCUGUAAUGUAUUAAAAUAUUUUUGUUUUGAGAGGUUUUUGCCUCAUAAAAUCAUUUGAUUUUUUAAAAUUAUUUUUCAGAACCAAAUAUUUGAUUACUAAUAUUGGAAAAAGUAAAAGUCAUAGCUUCAGUUUUAAAAAUAUACACUUACAUGUUACUACUGAAUAGCUUGAACAUGUUUUCAGUUAAGAACAAAAUCAGAACAAUUAUACAUUUAGUCUUAAAAUUUUAAUGGUAUUAACCUUAUGAACACAGAGCACAGUUUUUAAGUGACAAUGAUGAACAGAUGGUAGAAGAGGAUGCAUAAUUGACUUUCAGGCUAUUUAGACUUAAAUACAGAACCACUAAAGGUAUCAAGUUUCUGUUUCUGAUAGAUUCUAGUAAUUGAAUAAAUAGAGAUGUGAUCCUUAGUUGCACAAAAAUCCAAGUAAUGUUUUUAAAAAGCCAAUUUUUAUUUUUCAACCUGGUCUCUUAAUGUUCUUUUUUUAGGCUAAUUUUUUGAAGUCAGUACAGUAGUAGAUAAUUCAAUUAUUUUUUGUCUCAGUUGACAUUAAUGUAACAUGCCAUAAGUAGGUUGCUACUAAAAGCCAAAUUGCUUGAAGCUGUAUUUUACUGCCAUGUUGUCUAUUGACAUAGGCAGACUUGCUAAUUGAUUCAUUUUCUACUUUAUAAAAUGAGAUUUUUAGAGUAUUUCAAUUCAUUUUUUUGAAAAGAUAUGAUAUUUAAAUAGCCUUUGAUAUUAUAUUUUAUGUACAUAUUCAGUAAUUCAUCUUGUAUUUUAAGAGAAGAGUCUUUACUGAAAAUGAAAUUGCUUUAAUCUAAACAUUUAAGUGCCUGCUGAAUGCAAGGUAGUACCUAUUCUAGGUAGUUGGGAUAUAAAAGUUAAAAAAAUUGAUAAUGAGUUUGUAAUCGUCUAUGUAGAAGUUAUAGUUGAACCUAUGGAAGUAAAUUAAACCAGUCAAUAAAUGAACAUUUAUGAGAUGCCUGCAUUAAGUUGCUGAACUAGAUGCUUGGUUGUUAGUUAUUCAGAUCACUUAAAGGGGAAAGAAGAUUCAAAGAACUGAUCAAAUGGCUUAGAGGCCAGGGCAAAGCAAUGUUACAGAAACCACAAAAGGAGAGAAUAUCCUAGAAGAGAACUUGGUGAUCAGGAUUAUCAGACUUUUUGUUGCUGUAAAGUUUAGGAAUUGAUAACUGAGAAGAGACCAUUUAACUUAAUUAAAAAAUCACUGAUGACCUUUGAGAGAACAGUUUAGUGGAUUAUUAAGAUUAAAUUAGCAUGGGAAAGGUGUGUGGCUCAGUGGAUUGAGAGCCAGGUCUAGAUAUGGGAGGUCCUAGGAUCAAAUCUGGCCUAGACACUUCCUAGCUGUGUGAACCUGGGCAAGUCACUUAACCCCCAUUGCCUAGCUCUUACCACUCUUCUACCUUGGAACCAAUACCCAGUCUUGAUUGUUAAGACAGAAGGUAAGGGUUUAAAUAAAAAGUGAAAAAAGGUUAAAUUAACAUAAAAAGAAAUUGAUGAAAAAUUAAAGAUAUGGAAACAGCAAAUGCAGGCUACUCUUAAGAAGUUAUUAGUGGAAAUGGGAAGAGAGAUCGUAAAUAAAGGCUAGAGCAAGUAGAAGAGGAAUGGUCAAUUAAUAAACAAUUAUUAAAUGCCUGCUAUGUCUCAGGUGCUGGGCUAUGUGCUGGGGAUACAAAAGGCAAAAGACACUUAUUGGAUGAAUUCAUCCCAUUCACAUUCAGAGUUAUAAUUAUAAGUUGUGUGUUGCUCUUCCAUUCAGUUUCUCCUCCUUGUCUUUUCUUCCUCUCUUUUUGUACUAUACCUCCACAGAGGUCUUAUUUCUUUGGACCAUUCCUAAUCAACACCCCUCUAAAAAUUCUUCCUUAUCCCCCUCACCUUGCCCUCUUAUUUCUUAAUAUGAACUGCUGUCUUAAGAAUCCCUCCCUUAUUUUAUCCUGUCUUCUUUUCUCUUAAUCUGCACACCCUUUUUUUAAAAAAAUAUAUUUUAUUUGAUCAUUUCCAAGCAUUAUUCGUUAAAGACAUAGAUCAUUUUCUUUUCCUCCCCCCCACCCCCC